CCUACGGGAGGCAGCAGUGGGGAAUAUUGCACAAUGGGCGAAAGCCUGAUGCAGCGACGCCGCGUGAGGGAUGACGGCCUUCGGGUUGUAAACCUCUUUCAGCAGGGAAGAAGCGAAAGUGACGGUACCUGCAGAAGAAGCGCCGGCUAACUACGUGCCAGCAGCCGCGGUAAUACGUAGGGCGCAAGCGUUGUCCGGAAUUAUUGGGCGUAAAGAGCUCGUAGGCGGCUUGUCACGUCGGAUGUGAAAGCCCGAGGCUUAACCUCGGGUCUGCAUUCGAUACGGGCUAGCUAGAGUGUGGUAGGGGAGAUCGGAAUUCCUGGUGUAGCGGUGAAAUGCGCAGAUAUCAGGAGGAACACCGGUGGCGAAGGCGGAUCUCUGGGCCAUUACUGACGCUGAGGAGCGAAAGCGUGGGGAGCGAACAGGAUUAGAUACCCUGGUAGUCCACGCCGUAAACGUUGGGAACUAGGUGUUGGCGACAUUCCACGUCGUCGGUGCCGCNGCUACGCAUAACGUUACCCGUCCGUCGGGAGGUACGGCCGCGACGGACGUAAACCUACAAUAGAAGUUAGUACGGCGUGAGACGUGCCGACGGACGACGACGAGGGAGGAGG
Molecule: ribosomal RNA, 614 nt
Filed under: uncultured bacterium
Lineage: Bacteria
Description: bacterial SSU rRNA
Rfam family: Bacterial small subunit ribosomal RNA (bases 1-524)
Source: RNAcentral